AUACGUAGGGGGCGAGCGUUGUCCGGAAUUACUGGGCGUAAAGGGCGUGUAGGCGGGGAUGCAAGUUAUUGGUAAAAACCCGGGGCUCAACCUCGGGCUUGCCGAUAAAACUGUAUCUCUUGAGUGCAGGAGAGGGGAAUGGAAUUCCCGGAGUAGCGGUGAGAUGCGUAGAUACCGGGAGGAACACCAGUGGCGAAGGCGGUUCCCUGGCCUGUAACUGACGCUGAGGCGCGAAAGCUGGGGUAGCGAACGGGAUUAGAUACCCCGGUAGUCCCAGCCGUAAACGAUGGUCACUAGGUGUGGGGCGUGUUCAAGCUUUCCGUGCCGGAGCUAACGCAAUAAGUGACCCGCCUGGGGAGUACGGCCGCAAGGUUGAA
RNAcentral lists this ribosomal RNA (377 nucleotides) under uncultured bacterium. RNAcentral's name for it is "bacterial SSU rRNA". It matches the Rfam family "Bacterial small subunit ribosomal RNA", at positions 523 to 898 of the family's 1533-position model. The record is from RNAcentral.